RNAcentral lists this ribosomal RNA (465 nucleotides) under uncultured bacterium. RNAcentral's name for it is "partial 16S ribosomal RNA". It matches the Rfam family "Bacterial small subunit ribosomal RNA", at positions 28 to 507 of the family's 1533-position model. The record is from RNAcentral.
GGCGAACGCUGGCGGCGUGCUUAACACAUGCAAGUCGAACGGAAAGGCCCUGCUUGCAGGGUACUCGAGUGGCGAACGGGUGAGUAACACGUGGGUGAUCUGCCCUGCACUUCGGGAUAAGCUUGGGAAACUGGGUCUAAUACCGGAUAGGAACCAUCUUUAGUGUGGUGGUUGGAAAGUUUUUUCGGUGUAGGAUGAGCUCGCGGCCUAUCAGCUUGUUGGUGGGGUAAUGGCCUACCAAGGCGGCGACGGGUAGCCGGCCUGAGAGGGUGUACGGCCACAUUGGGACUGAGAUACGGCCCAGACUCCUACGGGAGGCAGCAGUGGGGAAUAUUGCACAAUGGGCGCAAGCCUGAUGCAGCGACGCCGCGUGGGGGAUGAAGGCCUUCGGGUUGGAAACUCCUUUCGCUAGGGACGAAGCUUUUUGUGACGGUACCUAGAUAAGAAGCACCGGCUAACUACGUG